RNAcentral lists this long non-coding RNA (3529 nucleotides) under Homo sapiens (human). Its description in RNAcentral is "SOX2 overlapping transcript". The stretch from base 374 to 649 matches the Rfam family "SOX2 overlapping transcript exon 3". Lineage: Eukaryota; Metazoa; Chordata; Mammalia; Primates; Hominidae. The record is from RNAcentral.
AAAGAAAGAAAGAAAGAAAAAAAAAGAAAAGAAAAAAAAGAGAACCACAGCUUUGGACAAAAGUCUAUAGCCAGUGCAUUUGAAAACUCCCCUUGCACCAGGGCUGACUGUAGCUGGGGGAAGACAUUUUACUCAUUUGCUCUUUCCUUUCAUACAGUCAGCUGGUCCCUCUUCUCAGGUGUAGAUCACCUAUUAUAAUUUUACCUAAUUUUGAUACUCUGAUAAGGAAAGUCCCAGGACUUAUCAGCUGGGAUAGGCCUCACUUACAAGACAGCUCUGUUCAGUAUUUGGAAGAAAGCCUGACAGGUUUCUUCGGAAAAGUGGCCAUCCAUGGAAUGAAUGAAAUGUUCUCUUUCUAUUCCAGGGAUUGCAGUGGCAAAGCUAGGCUAGGUCUUGGAGGCUGGUGUAAGGCGAUGUGGGUGAAGGCAGGAGGCUGAUGGAAAGACUGGGGGGAAGAAAAGCCGAAAUGGAUUCACGGUGCCUUGGAUGAAGGACGAGAGGGGAACUGCAAGCUCCUUCAACUGGUUCUGUCCGGUGAGAAGUGAUCAAGCUUGGGCUGACAAGAGGCUCAGGGAGCCCUCACGUUCUUUCGCUUUUUUACCUGCCAAUCAAACUGCUACAAGACAACACCCUGAUCUGGCAUGGACAUAUCCAACUUAGAAAUAAUGUUUCAUUCAAGAUAAGGCUCGUGGCUUAGGAGAUUGUGACCUGGCUUGCAUCAUUCUAAGACUUCUAUCGUCUGUUUUCAAAACCCAAGGAGGACCUCCUUUUCUGUGUGAUAGUUCCUCAUGCUUUGCCAGCCACUGGGUCUUUAAGGAAGCUUGCCAAGAGUUCCCGGCUGGGAAGGACAGUUCGAGUUCAUCAUAGACAAUGAGCUGGCACCACAGUUUAAGUGACUCACCAACCUGGUUGCCCACUUCAAAAUGUCAAGAACCACACUAUCUAAUUGAAAGAACUGUGUUUUAGCAAAGUGUAAUUGGAUCGCCUGGCAAGAUCAUCUCAAACUAUGUCUCUGACCUUGCCUUUCAGUGGCUAUUUUGAGCACAAGAGGAGAAAGGAAAUGAUUCCUGAAUUAUAUCUUGUUUUUAAAAAUUAAGAUUAAUUAAUACUUGGUUUUAUGUUCAUUCCAUUGUAGGAACUUAGUGAUUAUUACAAAACAGUCAAAAUAGGUCAUAGCAAAAUGAACGUUUAAGAUUAGGUUAAAACAUUCCUCUGAAAUUUUAGUAUUCACUUUUGAAGUGUCAAUUACUAUAUUUCUGUAAUUUCUCAUUUUUUUCUUGGCUUAGAGUCAAGAUGAAAAAUGAUAUUUGAAUCAAAGACAUUGUUUUGUUAUAUAGCCACUCCUUUCUAAAAUGCAAAUCCACCCUCCCCUCACCAAUGCUUUAUUCUUUGUGCGCGCACACACACACACACACACACACACACACACACACACACACAGACAUACACAGAACCAGCACCCAAAUGGUAGAGGAGGUCCUUCCAAGACUUCUAGGACCUGGAUCAUGUAAGCAGUAGAUGAGAAAAUGAAGUAAGAGAUAUAGAGUAAUAACAAUAAAAGUCAAUGAUUUCAUUUUACAAAAAAGUCAUUGUGUAGUACUCAGAUAUUUUUAAGAGCAAGUAUUAUUAUGACUAAAGUAUAUUAUACUUCUAAAUUAUUAUGAUUCUCAUCUAAUUUCAAGCCACACAUAGGCGCCAUUUGAAAGCAUUUUGUGUUACAACCUAUCAACAAAAAUCAACUAAUAGUUUUAUAACGUGCAUAGGUUUACCCCAUGGGGAAUUAAAAUUUUUAUCUGCAAGUAUUUCUGUUGUUGUGAGACUUUAGGACAAGACAACAUUUGGUGUUAACAUAGAAGAAUAUUCUAUGGCUUUUUUAGCUUUAAAGUUCAUUACUCUAAAAUAAAGUACACGUGGUAUUUUUUUCUUCCUAGUGUUCUCUUAUUAUAUGUAGAGUAUUUUCGGUUGUUGUUUUUAACGUAUACAUUAUUUUUAUUAAGUCAUUUCAUAAAAGAUAAGAUAUAUACUAAUAGACCCUUGGUUUUCUCCUAAUUUAAUUAUUUCAAGUCAAGCAAAAUUGGGCAAUUUUCUUUCAGGAAAAAAAAAAUAUUGAGCAUGAUUUUGAGGUAAAACUGAUUAUUUACAGCAUCUUUUCUCUAAUAGGCUAACAUUUAUGAUGGAUCUUAUUUCAAAGUUGAUUAUUCUCAAAGAAAAGUGGAGAUAUUAGAAUUUCCGAGUAAAUUGCAUUGUUUUAAAAAGUACUUUAAUGCAUUGUUCACAUUGUUGCCAGCUAUUGACCAAAAAAGAGAAGAAGAAAAAAGAAAUAAAAAAAGCAGUAUCUGCUCCAAACGUCAAGUUUUGCAGUUUGAAAGACUUGUACAUUAUAAUUGUUUUUUUCUUUUUUGGAAAGCAGUAGUAAUUAAUACCAAAGGCAUAGACAAUUUAGGGCCAUAACCUCCCUUCCCCCCUCUCCACCUUUUUUUUUUUUUUUUUUUUUUUUUAACUUUAACCAUGAUAGGCAUCUCUGCAAGGUAGGUUUUAACAUAUUUUUUUCCUAAUUUUUUUCCCUCCAUUCAGUAAGAAGGAUAAGCUUUUAGAGUACCCAGUCACCGUGGUAACUGCCAAAAAAAUUCUCCUGAAGUUUGAAGAGGUCAGCUAGCAGGGUCAACAACCCUGGCCUCUCUCUGAGCUCGGUCUAGCAUGCCCCAGCCUGCGGUUGGAGUGUCAGGCCAGAUCUGACCCUGGGAGGUGGACCAUUCUGGCUCUGAUAUAAAUUUUUCGAGUCAGUUCAUGGCCUGGACUCUCCAGGUGGCCUCCAAAAUCGAUUUUGACCCCCUGACCCUGUCUCACGGAGGCAUAGCAUCCACCCUAAGUAAGGAUUUAGCCAGGAAUGACAGCUUUCCACUGAGUGUUAUUGGGGACAGUAUAAACAGUUUGGAAAGCAAGUAAGGAGGUGUGAGGGCUAGCAAUCAUUAAAAGCACAUUAAAAAACAAUUUUUAAAAAUCUUUAUUAGAGAAAGUUGUAAAUGCAUAUCUGUUACAGAAUUCCUGUGAUUUGUAGAGUUUUCUAGUCAGUUUUGAAUAUAAAUAGGUCACAUAUCUUUAUCUUUUUGCAUACUUUGUUACAAAUAUGCAAAUAAGAUAGGCAUACUUGCUACAAAAUAGGUACAGCAGGAAUGUAAUAUGUUCAGAAAAGGCAAACUGGUUAUUAAAACACAUUAACAGGUAAGGAGUUUCUAAUAUUUUAAAUACUAAAAUUUUACAUGUGUAUUUUGAAGUUUUUAAAAUGGAAAAAUAAAGAACCUUUAAAAAACCCAACAGUGUGGAAUAAAGAUAAACUUGUUGCACUCAAGGUACAUUUCUACUUUGUAAAGCAAGAAGCCAAUACACUCAGUUGGAUAAAAAUGAGAGAAAAAUUGUAAAUAUAGAGAGUUACAGCUUAUAGAGCUGAAGAGGAAUAAAACAAAAAAAAGUGUCUCUGAAUAACUUUAUGUAUUUUCAACAGUUUAAGAUAUCAGAAACUUGGAAAAUA